RNAcentral lists this ribosomal RNA (253 nucleotides) under uncultured bacterium. Its description in RNAcentral is "partial 16S ribosomal RNA". It matches the Rfam family "Bacterial small subunit ribosomal RNA", at positions 795 to 1052 of the family's 1533-position model. The record is from RNAcentral.
CCACGCCGUAAACUAUGAUUACUCGGAGUUUGAAAUUAAUUUAAGCUCCCAAGCGAAAGCGAUAAGUAAUCCACCUGGGGAGUACGUCGGCAACGAUGAAACUCAAAGGAAUUGACGGGGGCCCGCACAAGCGGAGGAACAUGUGGUUUAAUUCGAUGAUACGCGAGGAACCUUACCCGGGAUUGAAAUGUAGGAGUUAGAUGAUGAGAGUCAUUGUCCCUUCGGGGCUCCUAUGUAGGUGCUGCAUGGUUGU